RNAcentral lists this small nuclear RNA (106 nucleotides) under Neogale vison (American mink). The record is from RNAcentral. Lineage: Eukaryota; Metazoa; Chordata; Mammalia; Carnivora; Mustelidae.
GUGCUUACUUCGCUAGCACAAACGCUAAAACUGGAACAAUCCAGAGAAGGUUAGCUUGGCCCCUGCAGCAGGAUGCAUGCAAAUUCAUGAAGGGUUCCAUAUCCAC